UGUGGUUGGUUCAGCGGUAGAAUGCUCGCCUAUCAUGUGAGAGGCACUGGGUUCAAUCCUCAGCACCACAU
Molecule: non-coding RNA, 71 nt
Organism: Ictidomys tridecemlineatus (thirteen-lined ground squirrel)
Lineage: Eukaryota; Metazoa; Chordata; Mammalia; Rodentia; Sciuridae
Source: Rfam